GAAAAAUUAAUUUUAAUUAAAAAUAUUAAAUUGUCAAUUUAAAAAUGGUAUCCAUUUUUCA
RNAcentral lists this transfer RNA (61 nucleotides) under Endomyzostoma sp. MZ-2009. RNAcentral's name for it is "tRNA-Asp". The record is from RNAcentral. Lineage: Eukaryota; Metazoa; Annelida; Myzostomida; Endomyzostomatidae.